GUCAGUUUAUAGAUGGAUUUUGUUUUUAAAAUCCAUUCAGCCAAUCUGUAUCUUGAUUAGAGAACAUAAUCCACCUACCUUGAAAGUAAUUAUUGGUAGGUAAGGGCUUACCAUUGCCAUUUUUAUAAUUGUUUUCUGACUAUUUGGUAUUUCUUCUUCUCUUGCUGUCUUCCUUUGUGAUUUUUUUUUUUUUUUGUAGUGGUAUGCUUUGAUUUAUUUUUCUUUCUCUUUUGUGUAUCUACUACAGGUUCCACAGGAUUUUUUCUUUGUGGUUAUCAUAAUGCUUACAUAAAGCGUCUUAGAGUUACAGUAGUUUAAGUUGAUAAAAACUUAACUUUGCAUAAAAAUCUCUACCUUAACAGAUUUUACAAUUUAUGUCUUUUUAAGUUGCAUGUUCUUUAUAACAAAUUGUAGUUAUUUUUUAUACUAUUGUCUUUUAACUUUUAUUUUGUGAUUCUGGGGAUUGAGCCUGGGGUGCUCUGUCACUGAGCUACAUCCCAGCCCUUUUUUUAUUUUUCAUUUUUUGAGAUAGGUUCUUGCUAAAUUGCUGAACCUUGAAUUUGAUAUCUUCCUGCCUUUGCUUCUGAAGUCUAUAGGAUUAUAGGUGUGUAUCACCACAUCUGGCUGUCUUUUAACUUUUAUACUAGAGUUAAAAGUGAUUUACACAUCACCAGUGCAGUAUGGUGAAUUUGAUUAUGUUUUUACCUUAACAGUGAAUUUUAUACUUCAUAUGUUUUCGUGUUGUUAGUUAGCAUCUUUUUAAUUCAAUUUGAAAAACUUUUUUGGCAUUUUUUUUAAGUCAGGUAUAGUGGUGAUGAACUCCUUCCACUUUUGUUUGUCUGGGAAAGUCUAUUUCUCCUUCAUUUAUUAAAAGGGAAACUUUGCUGGGUGUAGAAUUCUUGGUUCGCAGUGUUUUUCUUUCAGAACUUUGAAUACAUCAUCCUACCUUUUCCUGGCCUGUAAGAUUUUUCCUAAGAAAUCCAAUAGUCUUAUGGAGAUUUCCUUGUAUAUGACUAGUUGCUUCUCUCUGGCUGUUUUCCAAGUUCUCUUUGUCUUUGACUUUUAAGACUUUAAUUGUAAAUACACAUAGAUGAAGAUCUCUUUAUACUUAAUCUACUCAGGGAUCCCUGGGAUUCAUGAAUCUGGAUUUUUUUUUUCUCUGCAUUUGGGAAGAUUUGUUAUUAUUUUUUAAAAUAGAUUUUUUAUUUCUUUCUCUUUCUCUGCUUUACCAUAAUGUAUAUUGUGGCUCACUUGAUGGUGUCCUGUAAAUUCUUUAGGCUUUCUUCACUUUUUUUAAAAAUUCUUUUUGCAUUUUGUUCUUCCGAUUGGGUGUUAUAUUUUGGAUUUGGACUGUGUUCCAAAGUUUCAUGUGUUGAAAUCUUGGUCCUCAAUGUAGCUGUGUUCAGAGGAUAAUGAUACUGAUUAUCAUUAUUAUAAUUAUCCUUUUGGAUAAUGAUUGAAUCAUGAGAAUGAUAACCUCAUCAAUCCAUUGAUGAUCAUGUUUAUAAGUUGUAUGUGUUGGUCACUGGGAAAUUUUGAAGGAUAUGUUUUUCCCUGGACCUUUUCUCUUACUUUGCUUCCCAGCCACCAUGAGGGAAGCAGCUCUAGUUAGAUUGUCAGAGAUUCUGUGCUACUGAAGUUUGUGGGUAGACUUGCUGCUGGAAUCCUUGAGUAAGCUGGCGAGAUACCUGUGUCAAUGGGCAGAUGGAUAGGUUCUUGCUAAAUUGCUGAACCUGGUGCUUAGUUUUACAGAGCCUGUGCUGGUGAUUGCAACCAUGGAGGUGGGCUUGGAGCCUGAGUCUGUGGGGCUGAGCAUAAAGCCUACUUUGCAGGGGCUCAUCUGAUGCUUAUGUGAGCCUGAGUUCUGGGUCCACAAGGGCUAGCCUGAAGCAACUGGAGGUGGCCUGUUACCCAAGUUGUCCUGGAACCUAAAUUCACAAAUACCAAGCCUGGACUUUUGCUUGAUUGGUGCCAGUCCAAUACCUACAGUCAUGAGGGCCAGCCUGAUAUGGAACUGGCCUGGAAUCUAGGUCCACAGGGGCUAGCCUUGAGUCUGGGCCUACAUGGGCUGGUCUGGAACCAGGGUUCACUGGGAUGGGCUUAGUGCUAAAUCCACAGUGAAGCCAGGUGCUCACUUUACUCUCUUUCCCCACAUGGAGGCUAUCUCUGUCCACACUUCUAUUCAGAUUUAGGGUAGUGAUGAAGUAAAUAAUAUGAAACUAUCCUUCCUACCCUCUGCAAUGCAUCUUAUUUCUAUGAUCUAUACAUGUGCAGUAAAGUCUCAUUUGAAUUCCAUAGCUCUUGGGAAGGAAUUUCCAUUUGUGGAUGGUUGUUCAAAUUGAUAUUUCUGUGAGGAGAUGAGCAUUAGAAACUUCUUUCAUUUUGCUGAUACUGCUUGUGGAAAUCAAGAUAGUAAAUUUUAUGGUAUAUAUAUUUUGUCACAUAAAAAUUGAAAAAAUUGAUGGUUUUAAAACAGAAAUGUAAGAGCAAAAUAGAUAAAAAUGCUAUAGGGUCUUGAUUUAACAUCUGAGCAGCCAUCUUAAAUGUUAACUGCCAUCUUAGGAGAUAAGUUUUGCUUUCUUGUACUUCCUCUUACCAACCUCAUCCUGUGAGGAUGGCCUUAGGCCUUAGCCUAAGCAACUCCAUUUUAAAAACUCAGUUUGAAACCUGAAGUCUCACCAGGCAUGCCUAAUGCAGCCCUCUAGUAUGGCCCUCAGACACAAACAAGUCACUUUCCCCCACCCUGAUAAACUCAGAGUGAAGCCUCUGGCAGGCUGUUCUGGCCUGAUAAGAGGGAAAGACCAAAAUAUGGUGGGGACCAUCAGACCAGAUGUUUUAACCCGAGGGUAAAUGAUGUCACUGAGAAAUCCAAUGGUAGCUGAUAAGGAUUGAAAGGGGAGUCAAAAGCCCCCAAAUUUAGUAUAAAUAAUAGAGCAAAUAAACAGCCCAUAUUGAUGCAUAUAAGCCUGAGAGCCUGAUGAGGACCUGAACUGACAUCCCAACUCUUCUCAUCUGCCUGAACCUCUGUGUUGUUCUCACCGCUUUCAAACUCUACAGCCACAUCUUGACCCUGGUGAGAGCCACAACUCCUCCCUAGAAUCGCCUCCUCAGCCUGCUGUCAGCUCCACCCCAGGAGAAGCCUGCCUUGGUUCCUGAUCUCAUCACCGCAGCCUCUGCUGCACUUAAAGCCUAAGGCUUGAGACUUUUGAUCUGACACUUGAACUUAGCAUGCAGAGGGAAUGUCUGUCAUGUUAAGUGUGUUUGCAGUGCUUACAAUUAAUCUAGAAUUGUUUAUUUGUCUAUUGCAGUGCCCAGCAUUAAGGAUUGUCAUUUUCUUGAUUAAGAACCCUAGAAUGAAAUUGUACUGAGUGAUUUGAGUGAAUAAAGCAUUGAAAAGGGCAGAAGCAUGUGGACAUUCUUUAUUUCUCCCCCUCAACUACAUAAAUCGAAACUUUUGGCCAUGGGGACAGCCCCCCACUCCCAUUAGUGACCUACCCUAUG
This 3501-nucleotide long non-coding RNA is filed under the name Marmota monax (woodchuck). Lineage: Eukaryota; Metazoa; Chordata; Mammalia; Rodentia; Sciuridae. The record is from RNAcentral.